GACGAACGCUGGCGGCGUGCCUAAUACAUGCAGGUCGAACGCUUCUUUCCUCCCGAGUGCUUGCACUCAAUUGGAAAGAGGAGUGGCGGACGGGUGAGUAACACGUGGGUAACCUACCCAUCAGAGGGGGAUAACACUUGGAAACAGGUGCUAAUACCGCAUAACAGUUUAUGCCGCAUGGCAUAAGAGUGAAAGGCGCUUUCGGGUGUCGCUGAUGGAUGGACCCGCGGUGCAUUAGCUAGUUGGUGAGGUAACGGCUCACCAAGGCCACGAUGCAUAGCCGACCUGAGAGGGUGAUCGGCCACACUGGGACUGAGACACGGCCCAGACUCCUACGGGAGGCAGCAGUAGGGAAUCUUCGGCAAUGGACGAAAGUCUGACCGAGCAACGCCGCGUGAGUGAAGAAGGUUUUCGGAUCGUAAAACUCUGUUGUUAGAGAAGAACAAGGACGUUAGUAACUGAACGUCCCCUGACGGGAUCUAACCAGAAAGCCACGGCUAACUACGU
RNAcentral lists this ribosomal RNA (507 nucleotides) under uncultured bacterium. Its description in RNAcentral is "partial 16S ribosomal RNA". It matches the Rfam family "Bacterial small subunit ribosomal RNA", at positions 28 to 506 of the family's 1533-position model. The record is from RNAcentral.